AUUGAACGCUGGCGGCAUGCCUUACACAUGCAAGUCGAACGGCAGCACGGGUGCUUGCACCUGGUGGCGAGUGGCGAACGGGUGAGUAAUACAUCGGAACAUGUCCUGUAGUUGGGGAUAGCCCGGCGAAAGCCGGAGUAAUACCGCAUACGAUCUACGGAUUAAAUGGGGGGACCUUCGGGCCUCGCGCUAUAGGGUUGGCCGAUGGGUGAUUAGCUAGUUGGUGGGGUAAAGGCCUACCAAGGCGACGAUCAGUAGCUGGUCUGAGAGGACGACCAGCCACACUGGGAGUGAGCCACGGCCCAGACUCCUACGGGAGGCAGCAGUGGGGAAUUUUGGACAAUGGGCGAAAGCCUGAUCCAGCAAUGCCGCGUGUGUGAAGAAGGCCUUCGGGUUGUAAAGCACUUUUGUCCGGAAAGAAAUCCUUGGCCCUAAUACGGUCGGGGGAUGACGGUACCGGAAGAAUAAGCACCGGCUAACUACGUG
This 486-nucleotide ribosomal RNA is filed under the name uncultured bacterium. RNAcentral describes it as "partial 16S ribosomal RNA". It matches the Rfam family "Bacterial small subunit ribosomal RNA", at positions 30 to 507 of the family's 1533-position model. The record is from RNAcentral.